RNAcentral lists this ribosomal RNA (253 nucleotides) under uncultured bacterium. Its description in RNAcentral is "partial 16S ribosomal RNA". It matches the Rfam family "Bacterial small subunit ribosomal RNA", at positions 524 to 776 of the family's 1533-position model. The record is from RNAcentral.
UACGGAGGGUGCAAGCGUUGUCCGGAUUUAUUGGGUUUAAAGGGUGCGUAGGCGGCUUUUUAAGUCAGUGGUGAAAUCCAGCAGCUUAACUGUUGAAUUGCCAUUGAUACUGGAGAGCUUGAGUACAGACGAGGUAGGCGGAAUUUAUGGUGUAGCGGUGAAAUGCAUAGAUAUCUGGAGGAACACCGGUGGCGAAGGCGGCGUUCUGGACUGCAACUGACACUGAGAGACGAAAGCCAGGGGAGCAAACGGG